RNAcentral lists this ribosomal RNA (664 nucleotides) under uncultured Bacteroidales bacterium. RNAcentral describes it as "bacterial SSU rRNA". It matches the Rfam family "Bacterial small subunit ribosomal RNA", at positions 67 to 720 of the family's 1533-position model. Lineage: Bacteria; Pseudomonadati; Bacteroidota; Bacteroidia; Bacteroidales. The record is from RNAcentral.
GCAGCAUGGUCUUAGCUUGCUAAGGCUGAUGGCGACCGGCGCACGGGUGAGUAACACGUAUCCAACCUGCCGUCUACUCUUGGCCAGCCUUCUGAAAGGAAGAUUAAUCCAGGAUGGGAUCAUGAGUUCACAUGUCCGCAUGAUUAAAGGUAUUUUCCGGUAGACGAUGGGGAUGCGUUCCAUUAGAUAGUAGGCGGGGUAACGGCCCACCUAGUCAACGAUGGAUAGGGGUUCUGAGAGGAAGGUCCCCCACAUUGGAACUGAGACACGGUCCAAACUCCUACGGGAGGCAGCAGUGAGGGAUAUUGGUCAAUGGGCGAUGGCCUGAACCAGCCAAGUAGCGUGAAGGAUGACUGCCCUAUGGGUUGUAAACUUCUUUUAUAAAGGAAUAAAGUCGGGUAUGCAUACCCGUUUGCAUGUACUUUAUGAAUAAGGAUCGGCUAACUCCGUGCCAGCAGCCGCGGUAAUACGGAGGAUCCGAGCGUUAUCCGGAUUUAUUGGGUUUAAAGGGAGCGUAGAUGGAUGUUUAAGUCAGUUGUGAAAGUUUGCGGCUCAACCGUAAAAUUGCAGUUGAUACUGGAUGUCUUGAGUGCAGUUGAGGCAGGCGGAAUUCGUGGUGUAGCGGUGAAAUGCUUAGAUAUCACGAAGAACUCCGAUUGCGAAG